RNAcentral lists this ribosomal RNA (235 nucleotides) under uncultured bacterium. RNAcentral describes it as "partial 16S ribosomal RNA". It matches the Rfam family "Bacterial small subunit ribosomal RNA", at positions 29 to 291 of the family's 1533-position model. The record is from RNAcentral.
AGCGAACGCUGGCGGCAGGCCUAACACAUGCAAGUCGAGCGCCCAGCAAUGGGAGCGGCAGACGGGAGAGUAACACGUGGGAACGUGCCUUUUGGUUUCGGAAUAACUCAGGGAAACUUGAGCUAAUACCGGAUAAGCCCUUACGGGGAAAGGAUUUAUUGCCAAAAGAGCGGCCCGCGUCCGAUUAGCUAGUUGGUGAGGUAAUGGCUCACCAAGGCGACGAUCGGCAGCUGGU